AGAUGGUUUUGCAGGAGGGACACUGCAGACUUCCAUCCUGAGAGAGGCAGACGCGACCCACUGAGCUGGCUGUCUGAGAGCACCAAGACGGUCACCUCCACCGUCAGAUGGAGCAUGCUAUCAGGAGACAGGUGGCGAGUGGGAAAACUCGGAUCCUGAGCAGAAUUCUCCACGGGUGAAGCGCAUGUGAAGUCCGACAGACAGCCUUGCAGCGCCUGAUCCGAGGAGCUGGGCCCUGGCUGCCCAGGACGGCAGACACUAGGGAAGGCCAAGCCAGGCUCUGACGCGCCACAUGACUUGGUUCUCUAAGCCUCCAAACUCUGCCCAUCCUGCCUGAAGGUCGCUGCAGGGACAGCAGCUGGGGGUCGGCUUGGGCGUGGCUCUUCACGUUUAGGUGCCGUGGGACCCAGGGUCAGCCCUGCCUCGAGGCCUGGCUCCCACCUCCCAGCGGGGCGACCCUGGGCACGGCCCCUGCUCUGAGCCCCUCCCUCAUGAGCACUGUGCUGACCGCACAGGGACGCUGUAAGGAAGAAGGGAGACAGCGUGUGCAGCGCUUACAAGUGGCCGAGGGGGUGGCGGUGCCCUGAGGCUUGGAGAAGCCCACAAUCUCCUCAGGACUGGUUGGAGGGGUGGAGGGAACCAGUCCCAUUGGUCCCCCUUUCUAAAGCGUGGGGCAGGCCUAGGAGAGUAGGGCAGGCCUGGGAGAGCCAGCCAGGCCUUUAGAAAGGUCUUCAAGCUGGCCCCACGCCCGGCACCAUCUUUUGCAGAGGCCCGUCCCCACAGCCACCCCCAGAACCCUCCCGCCUCUGCAGGUGUGGACAGCUCAGGACUGUGGGGGCAGGCCACCCGCCUCCACCCCAGGCCAGUGGGGGCACCUUGUUGCCAUUGCAGUACAUGGCCAGCAGGCACAGCAGGUGGAAGGCGUGACUGCACUUGGUGAGGCAGCCCACAGCCAGGGGCCCGAUGGCCUUGCUGUCAGUCACGUCGCUGUACCCAGAUGCUGCGGACAGCUUCUCCAUGCAGAUGAUGCAGUCCUGGAGGAGACCAAACACAGGUCAUGCUCGCCAACAGUGGGCUGGGCUGACGAGGGCCAGUCUUGGAAAAAGAGGCUUUCAUGUGCUGAAAU
Molecule: non-coding RNA, 1126 nt
Organism: Chlorocebus sabaeus (green monkey)
Lineage: Eukaryota; Metazoa; Chordata; Mammalia; Primates; Cercopithecidae
Source: RefSeq, a predicted model, not a curated record